UGCAAGUCGAGCGGACAGAUGGGAGCUUGCUCCCUGAUGUUAGCGGCGGACGGGUGAGUAACACGUGGGUAACCUGCCUGUAAGACUGGGAUAACUCCGGGAAACCGGGGCUAAUACCGGAUGGUUGUUUGAACCGCAUGGUUCAAACAUAAAAGGUGGCUUCGGCUACCACUUACAGAUGGACCCGCGGCGCAUUAGCUAGUUGGUGAGGUAAUGGCUCACCAAGGCAACGAUGCGUAGCCGACCUGAGAGGGUGAUCGGCCACACUGGGACUGAGACACGGCCCAGACUCCUACGGGAGGCAGCAGUAGGGAAUCUUCCGCAAUGGACGAAAGUCUGACGGAGCAACGCCGCGUGAGUGAUGAAGGUUUUCGGAUCGUAAAGCUCUGUUGUUAGGGAAGAACAAGUACCGUUCGAAUAGGGCGGUACCUUGACGGUACCUAACCAGAAAGCCACGGCUAACUACGUGCCAGCAGCCGCGGUAAUACGUAGGUGGCAAGCGUUGUCCGGAAUUAUUGGGCGUAAAGGGCUCGCAGGCGGUUUCUUAAGUCUGAUGUGAAAGCCCCCGGCUCAACCGGGGAGGGUCAUUGGAAACUGGGGAACUUGAGUGCAGAAGAGGAGAGUGGAAUUCCACGUGUAGCGGUGAAAUGCGUAGAGAUGUGGAGGAACACCAGUGGCGAAGGCGACUCUCUGGUCUGUAACUGACGCUGAGGAGCGAAAGCGUGGGGAGCGAACAGGAUUAGAUACCCUGGUAGUCCACGCCGUAAACGAUGAGUGCUAAGUGUUAGGGGGGUUUCCGCCCCUUAGUGCUGCAGCUAACGCAUUAAGCACUCCGCCUGGGGAGUACGGUCGCAA
RNAcentral lists this ribosomal RNA (855 nucleotides) under Bacillus sp. (in: firmicutes). Its description in RNAcentral is "bacterial SSU rRNA". It matches the Rfam family "Bacterial small subunit ribosomal RNA", at positions 56 to 891 of the family's 1533-position model. The record is from RNAcentral. Lineage: Bacteria; Bacillati; Bacillota; Bacilli; Caryophanales; Bacillaceae.